This 207-nucleotide ribosomal RNA is filed under the name uncultured Bacillota bacterium. RNAcentral's name for it is "uncultured Firmicutes bacterium partial 16S ribosomal RNA". It matches the Rfam family "Bacterial small subunit ribosomal RNA", at positions 568 to 774 of the family's 1533-position model. The record is from RNAcentral. Lineage: Bacteria; Bacillati; Bacillota.
CGUGUAGGCGGGAAGGUAAGUCAGAUGUGAAAUUCCGGGGCUCAAUUCCGGCGCUGUAUCUGAAACUAUCUUUCUUGAGUGCUGGAGAGGAAAGCGGAAUUCCUAGUGUAGCGGUGAAAUGCGUAGAUAUUAGGAGGAACACCAGUGGCGAAGGCGGCUUUCUGGACAGUAACUGACGCUGAGGCGCGAAAGCGUGGGGAGCAAACA